GGGGACGGUUGUCGGGAUAUUAGGGCGUAAGGGCUCGCAGGCGGUUUCUUAAGUCUGAUGUGAAAGCCCCCGGCUCAACCGGGGAGGGUCAUUGGAAACUGGGAAACUUGAGUGCAGAAGAGGAGAGUGGAAUUCCACGUGUAGCGGUGAAAUGCGUAGAGAUGUGGAGGAACACCAGUGGCGAAGGCGACUCUCUGGUCUGUAACUGACGCUGAGGAGCGAAAGCGUGGGGAGCGAACAGGAUUAGAUACCCUGGUAGUCCACGCCGUAAACGAUGAGUGCUAAGUGUUAGGGGGUUUCCGCCCCUUAGUGCUGCAGCUAACGCAUUAAGCACUCCGCCUGGGGAGUACGGUCGCAAGACUGAAACUCAAAGGAAUUGACGGGGGCCCGCACAAGCGGUGGAGCAUGUGGUUUAAUUCGAAGCAACGCGAAGAACCUUACCAGGUCUUGACAUCCUCUGACAACCCUAGAGAUAGGGCUUUCCCUUCGGGGACAGAGUGACAGGUGGUGCAUGGUUGUCGUCAGCUCGUGUCGUGAGAUGUUGGGUUAAGUCCCGCAACGAGCGCAACCCUUGAUCUUAGUUGCCAGCAUUCAGUUGGGCACUCUAAGGUGACUGCCGGUGACAAACCGGAGGAAGGUGGGGAUGACGUCAAAUCAUCAUGCCCCUUAUGACCUGGGCUACACACGUGCUACAAUGGACAGAACAAAGGGCUGCGAGACCGCAAGGUUUAGCCAAUCCCACAAAUCUGUUCUCAGUUCGGAUCGCAGUCUGCAACUCGACUGCGUGAAGCUGGAAUCGCUAGUAAUCGCGGAUCAGCAUGCCCGGGGGAAAUAACGUUCCCCGGGCCUUGUACACACCCGCCCGUCACACCACGAAGAGUUUGCAACACCCGAAGUCGGUGAGGUAACCUUUAUGGAGCCAGCCGCCGAAGGUGGGGCAGAUGAUUGGGGUGAUCUAAAAAAAAACCCCCCCACACAUAUAAAAAAGGCGGAAAAAGG
RNAcentral lists this ribosomal RNA (999 nucleotides) under Bacillus pumilus. Its description in RNAcentral is "bacterial SSU rRNA". It matches the Rfam family "Bacterial small subunit ribosomal RNA", at positions 534 to 1533 of the family's 1533-position model. The record is from RNAcentral. Lineage: Bacteria; Bacillati; Bacillota; Bacilli; Caryophanales; Bacillaceae.